AUUGAGCGCUGGCGGCAGGCCUAACACAUGCAAGUCGAGCGGAUGAAGGGAGCUUGCUCCUGGAUUCAGCGGCGGACGGGUGAGUAAUGCCUAGGAAUCUGCCUGGUAGUGGGGGAUAACGUCCGGAAACGGGCGCUAAUACCGCAUACGUCCUGAGGGAGAAAGUGGGGGAUCUUCGGACCUCACGCUAUCAGAUGAGCCUAGGUCGGAUUAGCUAGUUGGUGGGGUAAAGGCCUACCAAGGCGACGAUCCGUAACUGGUCUGAGAGGAUGAUCAGUCACACUGGAACUGAGACACGGUCCAGACUCCUACGGGAGGCAGCAGUGGGGAAUAUUGGACAAUGGGCGAAAGCCUGAUCCAGCCAUGCCGCGUGUGUGAAGAAGGUCUUCGGAUUGUAAAGCACUUUAAGUUAGGAGGAAGGGCAGUAAGUUAAUACCUUGCUGUUUUGACGUUACCAACAGAAUAAGCACCGGCUAACUUCGUG
This 484-nucleotide ribosomal RNA is filed under the name uncultured bacterium. Its description in RNAcentral is "partial 16S ribosomal RNA". It matches the Rfam family "Bacterial small subunit ribosomal RNA", at positions 30 to 507 of the family's 1533-position model. The record is from RNAcentral.